Peromyscus maniculatus bairdii (prairie deer mouse) is the source of this 940-nucleotide non-coding RNA. The record is from RefSeq and is a predicted model, not a curated record. Lineage: Eukaryota; Metazoa; Chordata; Mammalia; Rodentia; Cricetidae.
UCCGCAGGGCCUGUCCACCUCUGUGGGCUGCCGCUGGGACCGAAUGUCUCCGCCAGCUGCCGCCGGGCCUAAAUGUUCCUGUUGGCCACUGCCGCCGGCCCGUCUACCUCCGCGGGCCGCUGCCACAGGCCUGUGUCUGCUUGUCUCCACCAUCUUGAAUCUCCUCACGAGAAACAAAUUAAGUGGAAAAAGGUCAAUAUCAGCAUCUUGUCUAAUGGAAUGGAAGCCCCGCCCCCAGCAUGGAAGAAGAAGAUGGAUUUGCUGAUAGCCAGUCAAAAAUACCUGGAACUGUACAAGGAGACCUUUAAGUCAGGAUAAAGCCAUAAACAGGCAAGGGAUGAUUAGAUACCCAUUGACGGGUCUGAUUUCACUUGUUUCAAACACAGCUGCAUUCUGUGGAACCCAGGGUAGAGCUUCAACCUACACAUCGGAAUGGAAAUGGCUCUAGAAACCUUAUCAUGCAUGUUAUAAAUCAGUGACUGGAAUAAGAGAAAUUGAAUUCCCAAAGAAGUGACACAUUUUAAUUUUUAAAGUGAUGUCUACAAUCAGACAACGAGGAGUCCUGGUCCCAGUACAGAGGACAGCAUGAAGUAUUCUGAAGUCAGCGGUUCUGAAGAAGCCUUGCUGUUAUGAAGGGGAGAUUUCAUCCUGUCAGCGGUAGCAGAACAAAGUGAUAGAUACUGAAAAGAAACCACAGAUAGCAAAGAUUUCCUGGAGAGAACUGCUGUGGGAAUUCGUUUUAGUCUUCUGUUCCUUGAUACAAUUCUUUCCCCUGGGUAAACAGAUUUGCAUAGUUGUAUUUACCAAAGAAACCCAACCCUUUACAGUCUAGAAAUUGCCAUCCCUACCCAGGAGAGCCAUAGCUCUGCUUCUGUCAAUUCGACCUUACUAAAAUGUCUCAGUUUAGAGGCACCUGACUCUAAAGGCUAAUUUUAACUGG